AGGAACACUGCUCUUUUACUAAAUUACAGUCCAUUUAUCGAUCAUCUUUUUAAAAACAAUAUGGCAUUUUCAUACUAUGUACAUCUCAAAAAAUGUUUAAUGUCCUUCAGAAGUAAGGAUCAGAGGCUGAACGAGGCUGCUCAAGCAGGAAAUGUUGAUGCCUUGUAUGAAUUAAUAUGGGAGGACGCAUAUCUUUUAGAUCAGAUAGACCAAGUACCAUUCGUGGAUACUCCUUUACAUAUAGCAGCAUCAAUGGGGCAUAUCAACUUUGCCCUGGAGAUAAUGAGGUUAAAGCCAUCAUUUGCGAGAAAGCAAAACCAAUAUGGAUUUAGUCCCCUGCAUCUUGCUUUGCAGAAGCAAAACCAAUAUGUACUUAGUGGCGAGGAUCUUUUGCAGAAGAAACAGACCCAAAUGGUGCUUCGGCUCAUAGACGUGGACAGAAAUCUUGUUCGUGUCCAAGGAAGGGAGGGUGUAACGCCUCUACACUAUGUUGCUGAGAAAGGAAAUGUCGAUCUUCUAUGCAAACUUCUAGCGGCUUGCCCUGAGUCCAUCACAGAGGUGACAAUCCGUAAAGAGACUGCUUUGCAUGUUGCUGCAAAAAAUGACCAGUUGGAGGCCGUUGAGUGCAUGCUAGGAUGGCUUCGAUAUGUCGACAUGGAGGAUAUCCUUAACUGGACGGACGAUGAAGGCAACACUUUAUUGCAUAUCACAAUCUCCAAAAGUCAAAUAAAGGCAUGAAAUUUUUUUAAAUUUUACUUCAGUUAGUCCCUAUAUUUUCAUGAUUAUUAAUUGCAUGCAUAUAUAAAUAUAUACUUGCAGUUGGUGAGGCUACUAGUUAAAAGAGCACGUGAUCAAAUAAAUGCCCGGAACUUAGACAAUAAGACACCCAUGGACAUGGUAGAAGAACAUUUGGGAGGGAAACCUGAAUUUAAAGAAGUAACACGCAUGGUGCGCAAAGCUGGCGGUAGACAAGGGUCCUCCCUUCCUGAUGGGGAUAUUGCAGGUUACUUAAAACAAGGUUUGACAUGGCGUCGAAACGUGAUUUUGUUCCUUUACCGCUUAUCACAGCACAUUACGGAUGAAAAUCGAAGCGCACUACUUGUGGUUGCUGUAUUAAUAGCGACAGCCACAUUCCAAGCAGCGCUUACCCCGGCUGACGAUCUUCAGGGAAAUAAGUCAACUGGAACCCCCAACUCUAUUGCCACUAAUGGAUCACACUCACCAUCGACAUCGGCAUCGGCAUCAGCAUGGGCAUAUGUAACACCAUCAGGAAGAGCAAAUUCAACCGCCAUUUCUCGGGGCAAUGGAACCAGCAGCAGCAUCCCAACAAGUGACAAGAUUCUAUUCGCUCCGGGGCAAUUUUAUGGCGAUGCCAUCAGUGAUAUGAUCUCCACACUUUUCGCAUUUUCAAAUAUUUCAGCCUUUUGUAUAGCUAUGCUGGUGAUUAAUUAUAACCUCCCGUGUGGCUCUACUCUGGUAUAUCCUCUUGUUAUUUGCUUUUGCCUGUUAGUGGUUGGCAGAACCCCGGUGUCGCUACUUGCCUCACUUUUAAUGUUUAUCGUCUUUCGGAUUUUUUUAUUUGUACAACUGGACUUCUCCAAGAUUCGAUUUAGACGAAGCUUCUGGACUACACAAGUUUUGGGCUCUGUUUUCAAACAUUACAGAAGCUUCUUCAAUAAGAUAAUGAAAGAAGCUGAAAAAUAGCUAUAAUGCCAAUAUGCUGCCAUGGACAAAACACAUGUCCGUUGGUCUGUUGAUGUUCUAUGCUGGCUUGGCUAUAUCUACUUAUUGGUGGUUUUAUUUUGAGUAAGAAGGUGUGUUUUUGUGUACUGUAUUUUCUGAAUUAUGUUCGUUUGCUUUUGCUUCAUUUUGUAAGGUCUUGCGUGUUUCAAUGUAAUUGUUAGAGUGCAAUUUAUGCACUAGUUUUGCAUUGUUUACUUCCCUUAAUAUCGAUGUUUUGCACUUAAUAAUAAUGUUUUACUUGUGUUUUACUUUUGUAGGUGCAAUUCUAUUGAUUGAUGAUAAAAUUGAGCUAAAAGAUGAUGUUUAAGGAGGAUUGUUCUCUUGGAGAAAUUUCUGAGCGUCAGAAGAACUUUGUUGAUAAGGCGUGGGCGCGUGCUGUCAACUGCGGACCUGCAGUUUUUAGUUUAACGUGUUUUGUAUUUUUGGUUAUUUUUGUAAUUACGAAUUUAAUAUUUCAGAUAUUAGUAUUUUAUUUUAAAUAGAAUUCUAAAAGAGAAGAGAGAGAGAGUAUUUAAGAGAGGAAUCUAUUGUGAAAAAGGGGGGAUUUUGGAUUGGAGAAAAAGAAACCCUAGAUCUAAUUUUUCUCUUCUCUCUAUGAGGAACUAAACCCAUUUUUCUGGUUGAAGGUUAAUGAAGCUUUGUUAUGUGAAUAUCAAUCUUAGUUUGUUUAUUCGAGAACUUGCUUUGUUAUGCAUGUUGAAGCCGCAUUACGAGAUUUUAUGCAUUAAAAUGAUAAGGGCAAAUCCUUUUCCAUUUUUCUAUUCUCGCAUUUUUUUUUCUCUACCCGAAGACCUUUAUUUGCUAUCUUUGUUUGAGCCUUAACCAUUACCCAUCUAAUUUUCUCCGUCUACUUAACCAUUUUUCUUCUUUUUGAGCCUCAAUUUAAGGAGAUUUUUGGACUCAUUGUGUGGAUAUAUUUUGUUGCUUUUUCUACCUUGUAAUAAAGUUUCUCAAUUAGAUCAACAAGCAUUAUGCUUGAAUUAAAUUGUGCAAGGUUCAUUUCCUUGUUUUGAUUCAAAAAAAAAAACAAAACAAAAAAAAAAGAAAAAGAAAAAAAAAGAAAAAUCGAAAAUCACUGUUCACUAUUCACUGUUCACAAAAUCCCUAAUUUUCCAGAACUUGUUUUCUUCUCCAGCCGCUUGCAGCACACCAGCAGCAAACCAGCCCGCCGGAAAACGCACCAUCCCGUGAGCGCAGCACCAGCAUCCCGUGUCUCGCAGCCCAGCAGCGCGCAACGAAGUCCCACCAGCGAAAGCAGCCGCGCGCAACGCAGCAAGCCCCAGCCAUCACCAUCGUGCGAAAUCAGCAGCAACCGUGCACGCAACACAUCCCGCGAAGCAGUAGCAGUAACGCCCCGCAACGCAGAUCCUCAGCUCCAGCCCGCGCGCACAGCGCAAAUCAAUCCAGCAAUCACCCUCGUGAAGCAGCAGCAGCAACGCCUCGCAACACAGCCACGCACCAGCAUCCCGCACGCAACCAGCAAUGUGCAACUAGCAACCAACAGCCACAGCCCACGCAUCAACAGCAACGCGCGCGCGCAACACAAUCAGUGCCAUCCCGCGUCCAUCAAGCAAGCUCCAGCCGAGCAGCAAUCGCAACGCAACCAGCCUACGACCUGCAUUCCAGGCGCGUGAAUCGAAAUCCGUGACAAGAUGGAGCAGAAUUUGGCCGCAUACUUCAAGAGUGUGGGAUUUAUCCCACCAUUCCCGCCAAACCCAUAGACGUUAUGAGGAUCAAAGCUCACAAUUCAGGGAAGUUUCUUUUUGCCCUUAAUCUUUUAUCCUUACGCUUUAAUUUUUAUGUGAGCUUUGAUUAUCUUACAUUGGGGACAAUGUAAGUUCUUGGUGUGGGGGAAGGAUUUUUGCAUUAUUGAUGUCUGGAAUUAUUGUUUUCACUCUACUCAUCUAUUUUCACUCUACUCAUCCUUAAAUGAUUUUGGAGUUAGUAUGCUUCAUAUAUUAUUAUUCUUCUUUUCUUUUCUUUCUCACUACUUUUUUCCCAUCUAUCUCAAACUAUUCAUAUCUAUUUUUAUUUUACCAUACUCUUUCAUCACUCACAUUUUAUCUUUCACUUUUCAUAUUACUACAUACAUCUUUCUCACUUCUUAUCAUUUUUACCUUUUCUUUUAUAUAUCACUCAUACUUUCUUCUCAUUCUACACCACUAUUGAUGGUUGAUUCAUUUGAAGAGUGUACAUGAUUUGAUGGCAAAUUUACCAACUUUGUGAGGAUUUGAGCCUAUGAGCAACCACUUUGCUAUAAUAUUUUUGUUAUGUGAAUAUCAAUCUUAGUUUGUUUAUUCGAGAACUUGCUUUGUUAUGCAUGUUGAAGCCGCAUUACGAGAUUUUAUGCAUUAAAAUGAUAAGGGCAAACCCUUUUCCAUUUUUCUAUUCUCGCAUUUUUUUUUCUCUACCCGAAGACCUUUAUUUGCUAUCUUUGUUUGAGCCUUAACCAUUACCCAUCUAAUUUUCUCCGUCUACUUAACCAUUUUUCUUCUUUUUGAGCCUCAAUUUAAGGAGAUUUUUGGACUCAUUGUGUGGAUAUAUUUUGUUGCUUUUUCUACCUUGUAAUAAAGUUUCUCAAUUAGAUCAACAAGCAUUAUGCUUGAAUUAAAUUGUGCAAGGUUCAUUUCCUUGUUUUGAUUCAAAAAAAAAAAACAAAACAAAAAAAAAGAAAAAGAAAAAAAAAGAAAAAUCGAAAAAAAAGAAAAAAAAUGUUUACAUUCUUGGUGACUUGAGUAGAAAUAAGCAUUUUGAUAUCAUAAGUUCAUUCAAUGAGUUCAUUCUUCUCAUUUUGAUCUCUUUUUCUUUCGUAAACCUUUCUUUUUCAUUCAACCUAUUUAACCCCAUUACAACCCUUUUAAGACCCUUAGAUUUUUGCAAUUUUAUUCAUGUUUUGUGGAUUGAGAUGUGAUAUAUGAGCAAGCUUAUGGUAAUAGCAUUCUUUGAUUUGAUUUGAGUGAAUAAAUGACACCCUAAACACUUUGAGUGCAUAGAGUGAAGUUAUUGAGAGGGCUAUUACAUCUUGUUGCACUUGAAUUUUGAAUGGAUCUUCUUGGUGGUUGAAUGUUCUUAUUCUAUCUUAUGAGAUUCUAUGCUUUAAAAUCCUUGUCUCUCGAAUGUUGAUCGACUUAAUUUCUUGAGGUAUGCUUGCUUAAAAUUAUUUUUGGAUGAGUUGAGAUGAGAAUUGAGUGGAGAUUUGGGAUUAAUCUUGAGUUAUAUGCUUGAGGACAAGCAUCAUCUUGGUGUGGGGGAAUUUGUUAGAGUGCAAUUUAUGCACUAGUUUUGCAUUGUUUACUUCCCUUAAUAUCGAUGUUUUGCACUUAAUAAUAAUGUUUUACUUGUGUUUUACUUUUGUAGGUGCAAUUCUAUUGAUUGAUGAUAAAAUUGAGCUAAAAGAUGAUGUUUAAGGAGGAUUGUUCUCUUGGAGAAAUUUCUGAGCGUCAGAAGAACUUUGUUGAUAAGGCGUGGGCGCGUGCUGUCAACUGCGGACCUGCAGUUUUUAGUUUAACGUGUUUUGUAUUUUUGGUUAUUUUUGUAAUUACGAAUUUAAUAUUUCAGAUAUUAGUAUUUUAUUUUAAAUAGAAUUCUAAAAGAGAAGAGAGAGAGAGUAUUUAAGAGAGGAAUCUAUUGUGAAAAAGGGGGGAUUUUGGAUUGGAGAAAAAGAAACCCUAGAUCUAAUUUUUCUCUUCUCUCUAUGAGGAACUAAACCCAUUUUUCUGGUUGAAGGUUAAUGAAGCUUUGAUUCAUCACUACUGUGAGAUCUUUCUUGUGCUUUAAUUGUUUUAUUACUUUUUGGGUAUUUGUUUAUUCUCUGAAUUAUUUUCAUGAUUAUGUUUGUUAAUUAGGUAAUUGGCCACUAUUUAAUUAUCAACUUAAUCUAUUGUCAAUUAAAGGAUUCAUCGUAUGAAGAAUUUAAUGUUUGUGACAAAUAACAUAGCAGAGAGUUGUGUUGUGAGAAUAAACAAUCUAAUUUAAAUGAAUCAUCAUAUGUGUUGAUUAGGAUUUGGGUCUCUCUGGUUUUUCAGGCUGUCAAUUGAUUAAAUUCUAUGAUCGUAUCUAGGGUUGUCUAUUGAUUAGGGAAAUAACCAACGGUCGUACCUUGGUUAUCGACUAGUUAAGGAGAGAUUGGCUAUUAGAGAGUCUCAGUAGCUAUAACCGGUCUAUUCAUGAGUAAUAAUAAUCUAUAUUUGAAUCAAUGAUCAGUAGUCGAAUCAAGCUGAGUUAAUUCCUUCAACCAGAGCUUUCUCCAAUUUGAAUUACAACUUUAAUUUGCAUUCUUGUUAUUUUAAUUUGAUUUUUAUUAUUGUCAACAAUUCCCCUAUUUUACGUUUUACGUUUCAAAAGGAUUUAAUUAAUUACCUAUCUCUGUGGACACGACCCUGCUCAAUCACUAUACACAAUUUAUUUAGAGUAGGAAUUUACUUUUGUUGGCUUCGACACCCAUCAAAUAUUAAUUACUCUUGUUGUAUCUGAUAGCUGUAUUGUUCACCUUCGUGACUGUGAAUACAAUGAUGUUAAUUUAAUAAAAUUAUAUGCUUGUUUGUUUGAUAAGAAAAUGAUGGAAAAUUUAUUGACUUAGAGAGGAAAAACAGAAAUUGAACUCAUUAUGAUUGAUACAGUGAAAUGAGAUUACAAUACACUAUAUAUAUAUAUAUAGUAGCAUCUGGAACUUUCCAAGUGUAACAGAAUCAUAUACAGUCUCUGAUAUUCACCAUAACAUUUUGGUGGGAAAUAACAAACUAAUAACAAACUUUUAACAACUUGUAUAACAAUCUUCCAGUAGCUUCCAGCAUCUUGUCCAGCGUGGCAUCUGAUUCAUUACUCUACUUAACAAUUUGCUGACAUGAAGAAAAACAAACAACAAACAGCAAACGCACAAACAUAGCAAAAAAAAGAAGACAAGACAAUAAAGACUGCUUUUGACAACCUAAGUGAUUCAUCAACCUAUGUAUCGGGUUUUUCAUUCAUCAGCAAAGAGUUUCAGCACUUGAUCUGAAAAAUAAAGACUGCUUUUGACACUCUAGAAAUUCAAUUUCAUUUUUCCAUGUUAUUGAUGAUCAAACUCAGAUUAGCAACUGAAAAUAUAAUAUAACAAUUUGACAUCAAAAGUAAGUCCACUGAAAAUUUUUGGAAAUAUAUUAAUUAAAAUUAUGUUGAUGAAAUUUUUUAAAAUUUUAUGGUUUUGGUUUACGAAUCGUGUUGGCGAACGGCUUUAUUGUACAAGUACAGGUGCUGCUUCCUCUUCAUCUAUAUUAUACGGUUUACAUUGUUAAUUUAUUUUAGUACUUUGUUUCCUCAUUUGUUGAAAUCCACUGAGUGCUUUAAAGUUACCUGAUUGACACUAAAAUUAUCAUUUUUUUUUCCUUCAUCCUGUUCUCAAAUUCAGUCACGUUCCUUCGUCAUUUGUUCACGAAAUCCAAGUGCGGGCAACCAAUUGAGAAAGCCUGUAUUUUGACAAGCUCAAUCAAAAUUCUUCGGUUCCUUACGUGUUGAUUUCGACCUCUAUAAAUUAAAUUUAUUUAGCUUGAAAAGAGAAUUUGAUAAAAAUUUAAAUAAAGAAAUUGGGCAAUGAGAAUAUAUUUGUAAUUUUAUUAACAAUAUAUGGACAAAUUGGACAAUUAACAACUAUUUUUUUAUGUGCUAGAAGGGUAUAACGGUAAUUAUAUAUUAAAAUUAUAAUUUCUGUUAAAAGUAACGGUUUCCGUUGAUGAAUGAGGGUGUGGAUGUCUUUUUUAAAAUAUUGGAGGGACUUUUAUCCAUCUGUCUAAACGUUGUGAGUGUGUUAGUCUUUUUCCCUAUUUACAAGUACAAUUGUAAAUUUAUUUUCCCAUUCUUCUUCCCUUCUCUUCAAAAUUCAGCGCGAUUUUCUCCAUUUAAUUAUUCACAUCUACAACAUUGCAAAUCUAUAAUUAGAAUUAAAAAUUCUUCUGAUUUUCCAAUACCAAUAAGUCAAUAAAUCAACUAUUAUAGUCAAAACCAAACCCUAAAACAAAAUUAUCAUUUUUUUUCCUUCAUCCUAUUCUCAAAAGGGGCUAUCUUUGUUGCUAGGCAUGUGGUGUUUAACGAAUCAGAAUUUCCUUUCUCUACGAAUCCUCAAUUCUCUAAGCAAUCUUCUACCUCUGUUUCCGAGUAUAGACAUCCUAUGUUUAAAACUUCUUCUGUGUUAGUUCUACUACAUGAUCCUUCAGGCUCAAGUGACAACACUGUACAACAGCUUCAGCUCCAUGCAGUUCCAGCUUCCUCUUCUUCCUCUAGUUCUUCAUCAUCAUCACCUUUACCUCCAAAUCCAUAUUUCCCUGAUCCUUAUCACAAUAUGUCCCAUAAUUCCCAACACUCUUCUUCUUCUACAUCUAUUGUGCCUAUUCCACAGCCUUCUGUCCCUACUCAUGUACCAUUGCCAACUCAUCCAAUGGUUACAAGAGCAAAAGCAGGAAUAUUUAAGCCAAAGUUUCUUGCAUAUUCUUUUGUUCUUGAAGAACAUGAACCUGCUACAAUUUCUCGAGCUCUCUCAAAUCCUAAACGGAAAGCAGCAAUGCAGGCUCAGUAUGAUGCACUCAUGAAAAAUGAAACUUGGGUUCUUCUUCCAACCUCUCAAGUUACUAAAGUUGUUGGUUGUAAAUGAGUGUUUCGCAUUAAGUAUAAUGCAGAUGGCUCUAUAUCUUAGUACAAAGCUCGUUUGGUUGCAAAUGGGUUUCAUCAAACCCCUGGUAUUGAUUACUUUGGGACUUUUAGUCCAGUGGUUAAGCAAUCUACUAUGAGAAUUGUACUUAGUCUUGCUGUUAUGAAGAGCUGGAAAAUAAGGCAGAUAGACAUCAACAAUGCUUUCCUCAAUGGGCAACUCAAUGAAGAUGUUUACAUGUUUCAACCUGAGGGAUUUGUCUAGCUUUCAUCUGGUCAUGUUUGUAAAUUGCUUAAGGCUCUUUAUGGUCUAAAACAGGCUCCUAGAGCAUGGUUUGAUCGGUUAAGGAAAGCAUUGUUGAAGUGGGGGUUUCAGAGCUCAAGAACAAAUUCAUCUUUAUUCUUUAAACAUGAACUUGGAGGUAUUGUUGUUGUGUUGAUAUAUGUUGAUGAUAUUCUUAUUACUGUAGAUAAUAAUACAGUGAUUGAAAGGUUCAUCAAAUAUCUUGGAGAUACUUUUGCUUUAAAAGACCUUGGUUAAUUCAAUUACUUCCUUGGUAUUGAAGUUACUCAAGGUACAAAGGACAACUUACAUCUCUCACAAGCCAAAUAUGUAAGAGAUUUGCUCACAAAAACUGCAGAGAAAGUGAUACUCAAAUGAGUACAAGACAAAAACUAAGAAGAGCAAGAAAUGAAGAUAAUUUGAUUGUUAAUGUUACUGAAUAUAGAAGCAUAAUAGGUGCAUUGUAGUAUUUGGUACUCACAAGACCAGAGCUUGCUUUCUCAGUAAACAAGUUGAGUCAAUUUCUUGCUGCAUCUACAGAGAAGCAUUGGACUGCUUGUAAGAGAAUUCUAAGAUACUUAAAGGCAACUGAGGAUUAUGACUUGCUAUUUAAACCAGGUGGUGGUGUUGUCUUAACUGCAUAUACUGAUGCAGAUUGGGCAUGUGAUGUUGAUGAUAGGAAAUCAGUUGGAGCAUAUUGUGUUUAUCUUGGGCAAAAUCUUAUAUCAUGGUCUUCUGAGAAGCAACAAACAAUAGUUAGAUCUAGCACAUAUAGAGCAUUAUCAACAUCAUGUGCAAAAAUCGUUUGGGUUCAGGCUUUGCUUGGUGAACUUAAUAUUAAGUGCAAUCAAACACCAAUAAUCUGGUGUGACAACAAUGGUACUGCUGCAUUGGCAACAAAUCCAGUAUAUCAUGCUAAAACCAAGCACAUAGAAUUAUAUGUACAUUUCAUAAGAGAGAAUGUGACAAAUAAACAAGUGGAAAUCAAGUAUGUGCCUAGUGAAUGGAAUAUUGCAGAUGUGCUUACAAAGCCUAUGGCUUACUGUUGAGUGUUAGAAAAUGCAUAUUUAUAAAGGAGAAAACCGUCAUUUUACAUUUUAAGUCUUACUAACAACCCUUACUUUUAUAUAUUUAACCUUCUUGUGAUUUAAUUACAUGUGUUUUAUUUUAAUUAAGUAUUUUAUGUAUUUUAGGGGCAUUAUAGUCAUUUCACAAUAAAGGAGAGAUCAGACAGCAAAACGGACAUCACUUUUGAACUCAGGACGGUCGAAAACCUUAGGAGGAGCAUAAAAGGAAAAAUGGCACUAUUCACAUGUACGGUACUAUUCACGUGUACGGUACUGUAUACGUUACUGUUCACGACACUGUUCACAUAGACGGAUGAUGACGUGGCAUUGACCGAUGAUGUGGCAUUGACUGAUGAGGUGUCACGAUCCUGUUGGACUAAAAUUCUUAUGUACUGUUGAUGGUGACGUGGCAGCAUAUCAGUGGACGAAAAAUCUCGCGUACGGUGCAUGCAUCACACAGGAUUAUUUUCAACCAAACCGCGUUACUGUUCAUCCGGGUCAAACCGCGUUACUGUUCAAAGUCGGGUCAAACCGUGUUACUGUUCAUCCGCGUGGUCAAACCGUGGACUGUUGACUGAUGACGUGGCGCAAUCCUGAGCGUCCAAACUGUUUUUAAUCCGAUGGCCAUGAUUUACUCCAUGUAUCUAUAAAAAGGGGGCCUCCCCCCCCUAAUUUGAUAUCUCUGAAUCCAUUUUUGGGAUCCAUUUUCUGUAAUUCCUUCUCCAUCUUGUAUUUUCUUCGUAUUUUAAUAAAUUCUCAUUUUGCCUCUAGUUCAACUAUGAGUGGCUAAUUUUCUUUCAAGCUUGGGUUGAAGGUGAAGUCUCAACAUGUGUCAUGGGCUUAAUUUGGUAAAUUUAUUUUCUCUUCCCCUCUAAUUUUUGUGGAUGUUUUGACUUCUCGUCGACAAAUAAUAAUAGUCUUGUCUAGAUACCGCCUUGGUUACACCGGCUCUCUAGUAUAAGGUUAUUAUUAUUUGGCACGAUAAGCCCUUAGCACCAUAUUGAUUAGAGCGUGGUUCAUGAGGUGUGGAUUCCCCCCUCAUGAUUUAAUUGGCAUUAAUACGGAUUAUUUAGCCCAUGAUGCAUGUUGAUACGGAUCCAGAUACCCAAGUACGUCAUUUCAAUAGAUCUUCGCUUCAAUUUAUUCUCGUCAUUUCAAUUCCAAUUUCAGAAUUUAUUAUCGCCAUUUUAAUUUAAGUUUUAGCAUAUUCCAAUCAUUUCCACCACAAAUCCAAUCACCCAUUCACAAAAAUUAAUUCUACACAAUUAAAAUCCACCUCCUCGUGGGAUCGACACUCGUCACCAUUAAUCUAUACUACAACAGAUUCGUGCGCUUGCGAGUACAUUAAAAUUUGCACAACACUUACUGCUUUUUAAAUUACUAUAGAGACAAGCUUAAUGUUGUUUCAUGACCGUUAAGCUUGAGGAGGAGUGUUAAGAUGCUUAAUCAACAGCAGCAGACCAGUGGCUGAGAUUUGUGCGACAAGGAUUGCUGAGCUGAACAAAUUAGUUAAGUUGUUGUAAUUAGUUUUGGUUUAGCCAAUAGAUGUAUUACAGUUGUACAAAAGGUUGUUAUUACUGUUGAUCAACAAUAUAAGUUUGCUACGAGCUAAAUGUAAUUCAUAUAAUUCAUAUCAAUAAAAUUUUCUCUGAUUUAGUUACUUUUCUUUCUUCUUUCCGUCACUUUCCUGCUAGCCAAACAAACUAUCAACCUAAGAUCCGUGAGUUCUAACUUUUACAAAUGUAAUAAUUACCAUGAAUUUGCAAAAACUUGCAGCAAAUAUUUGUGUCCCAAUAGGUUGACAAUUGCAACACAUAUCGAAAAACUGUAAUAGUACCCUUGAUUAUAAUUACUUGACCAUAGUCAGUGGCGAACUAUGUAUACGCCUGGCAGCCGAGGUGUCAGGAAUUUAAUUUAAUAGGGGUGCCUAAGUUCAAACACUAACAUAAUUAAAAAAAUGGUCAAUAAAUAACAAAUAUUAAAAUAUUUAGGGCUAGUUUGGCAAUCUUAUAACUUUUAAAAUAAUUGUUGUUACUUGCGCUAUAAAAAUAAUAAGUUGUGAAUGGAAUUAGUUAAACGUUUGACAAAAUUUCUUCUUAAAAGUGCUUUUGUAAAUCUCAUUGUUGAACUAUUAUAAGAGUUUAAAUGAUUAAAAUGGACAUAAUAUUAAAUAAAAUAUAUUAUAUAGAUAUAAAUACAUACAUAUAAUAUUUUUUAUUAUGUAUAUUAGUAACUGAUAACUAAAAUAAUUAUCUUUGUUUUAUUAAUUAUUUUUUAUCUCAAUAUAAUUAGUAAUAAUAAUAAUCUCUAGAUUUAAUAAUUUUAUUUCCUAAUUGAAUAAGGAUAAUUUUAGAUUUUUAUAAUAUAUGUAAGGAUAUAUAUGGAAUUUUAUUAAUUAGAAAACUUAUCCUGAAAAUUAGAUUUUGAAAGCCUACUUCUUUUUUGCUUUCCAAAAUAUACUGUAUAUAAGAUAGAGUGAUUUUACCGAAAGUGAUUUUAAAAAAAAAAUCUACCAAACAGUAAAAUUAAAGUUUAGCUUUUAAAAUCACUUUUAAGUCUCUCAAAAGCAAUCUCAAAUAGGCCCUUAAUUCAAUACAGUUAUAAUUGUUCUCAUGUAUUUUCAUAUGUUAAAAAUAUUGAAGAAUAACCUCAUUAUCAUUACUACAAACAUAUUUUCUUCUACGUAUACAAUAAAACUAUCAUUCAACAAUUGGUUUCCCAUAUGAUUUUGUGGAAGAUUUUUCAGAAAAUUCAUAGCUGAAAAUACCCUUUCUAAUUUAGUUUUGUUACCUGAUAAAAUCAUUGCUAAUGUUACCAACAUAUAAAUUAAUGAAUACAACUAUCCAUUAUCUCAACCAUUUUUCUUGCUAACUCACCAGUCUCUUUUAAUCUUAAAAAUGUUGUCAAAACCCACAUUCAUAAUAUAAUCAUCAAGUUGAAUUUCAAGUGCCAUAAUGCAACAAUCUUUCUUUAUGGGUUCAAAAUGUUAAAAAGAAUAUUUAAUAUUUUACUUGUUUUUAAAUUUUAACAAGGGUGUUAUGGUAAAUCAAAUAAAAAUAGGACAAAUAUUAAAAUAAAUUUUAAAAAAAUUAAAAAAUUGAAAAAGGGUUUCAGCCCCUGCUAAAAUGGCACCACAUCUAAAGCCUAGGGUGCCUUGAGGCAACAUACCAAUAAUAAUAAUAAAGAAAGAAAUCAAGAAAAAAAAGACAUAAUAAUACGUAGUAACAUUAGCAAUGUUAAUUGUAUUUUAUGUUUUGACCCCUAUAAUUUUACAAGUUGAUUUUAUGUUACCGCCUACUCAAAUUUAUGGUUUUGGUCAUUGUGUUUGGCCCUCUCAAUUUUAGUGAUUAUAUACUGUAUGAAAUGUAAGUUAUGCAACCCAAGAGGGGGGUGAAUUGAGAUUUUAAAACUUACGCUAAACAAUUCGCACAACAAUUUAAUGUAUUGCCUUAAUCAAAUGUAAAAACAAUAAAUUCAGUAAAACACAAUACUAAAAGAGUAAGUACAAUAAUAAAAGAGUAAGGGAAAAGAAAGCAAACACAACAAUUUUUACGUGGUUCGGCAAUCCUCGCUUACGUCCACGCCUCCAAGCCAACCAAACUCGAGGAUUUCACUAUCAAAGCCUCCCAAAUCUUUAAGUUCUUACAAUUAACUUCCAAGGUGUCAAUGAACCUUUACAAUCAAGAGAUUAUCUCUCCAAUCUAUUCACCCCAAUUAUUUCUCACACUUGUACACUUACAAUUUGAUGAGAAAUGAACAAUUACAACAAAAACUCUCUUUAAGAGUGGAUUUGCAAAUAAUAGCAUAAUAAUGAUUCAAUAAAUGAUGAUUUACGAAAUGGAACCUCAAUAUGUGUUAUAUGAUCUUAUUUAUGCUUGCAUUAGUCUUGAAAAUGAAGAUGGAGUUAAGGUUUUAUAGCUAAAGCCCAAAAACUAACCGUUAUAGGCAAAUUCCAGCGCUCAAGCGGUUAGCCGCUUGAUUUAUCCAACUAGCCGCUCCAGAACAAUGAUGUUACCAUUAAAUUUGAAUUUUCCGAUAGUAUCAUUGUUCAUUAAAUUACAUUUGUGACCAAAACUUUCUAUAAUUAUAUUAUAGCCCAACAUGUCAUAAAACUUUGCAAAUAAGUCUAAUUUCAGAAUUUCUAAAUAAUACCUGUCAUUCCUAAAUCUUAUUGUAAUUAUGAUAUGACCUAGUAUAUAAUAACAUUUUUCAAAAAGUCCUUUUCAAAAUUUAAAAUAAUACCCAUAAAUUUUAAAGUUCUCAAAUCUUUUCAAUUUAGUCCAAAAUUUAAAAAUAUGAGACUUUCCUCAAGCGGUUAGCCGCUCACUCUCUGUUCAAUUUUUUAUUUCAAUUGUUUGGAUUACGUUUUGGUCCUCAAACUUUCUUAAAUUGUAAUAUGACCCAAAAUAUUUCAAAUAUUUGCAAAUAAAUCUAAAUUCGAAAUUCAAAAUUCAAAUUUCAAAACAAUAUUUAAUAAAAUAAAAGAUUGCAAAACUUUUUCAUUUUAGUCCAAAUUACUCAAAUCCACAAAAUACUUUAUCUUAUAAAUAUAAAACCUUUUAGUUUAUGAAAGGUAAUUAUUUAAAUAAACUCUUGAGUUUCUCAAAUGCUAAAUCAUGUAUCAAUUAAAUCAUACCGACUUUACAAGAAUUUGUCACAAUAAUUUGUUCGUUGAGCUUUAAACUUUAUUCUUGAUUUUGCCGUUGUCCGUUGAGUGUCUUGAACUUGAUUCACUUGCAUAAAUAUUAUCCUUAAAAAACUAGUAAAAAUGUGAAAUACAAUAUUUAUUAAAUCACUUAAGACACAUGUUUGUUAUCAUCAAAAUUACAUUAUGGGUAGCCCUUUAGGCUAACACUGUAGCCUACUCAAGUAUAUAGUUUCUUCAUUAGGCCCCAAAACCAAAAUCCUAAAAGUAUCUCCAAAAAGUUCUAUUAAUUUUACUCUUCAAAUAUUUAUUUGCUUACCUAUGUGGUAAAAAUGAGAGUGAAAAAAUAUGUUAUUCUCCAAAAGACUCUUUAAAUAGAAAUAAGUUAAUAUUAUUUUAAUCAAAUAAAUAUUUUUUCAAAGGAAAAAUAAAUGGUAAUUAAAGCAUUUCUCUCUCUUUCUCCCCAAUAAAAAGUAAUAAAAUAUAAAUUGAAGAGAGAGAAAGUAACUCUACAAAUUAAAGAGAGAGAAUUAUUUCUUAUUUGAAAAAUCUUAAUUAGAGUAUCUUUUGAAGUCUUAAAUACUGAUGUAACUCUUCAAAUAAGUAAUAAAAUCUUAUUUGAAGAUUUUUUUAGAGAUGCUCUAACUUCACCACUAGAUUUACUUGAGUAUUCAACAAUACUCGACUUACUCGAGCGUAGGUGAUUUAGUUAUACUUAAUUGACUACUAAAACAAUUUAUUCGACUUACUCGACGAUACUUUACUUAGGUCACUCCAUGUACUAAUAUUUUACUAUUUUUCUAAGUGGUACAUUUAAUUACAAAAAUCCAUGAAAAUUUGAUAAUGAUGAAAUGCUUAAUAAAUAAGGGUAUUUGGUCGAAUCAUAACAAUGUUUGUUAAACACUGGUCUAAUAAUAAGUAGUCAUUUUCUGAUGAAAUAAAAUUAAAGCUGACAAAAUUUAACAUGACUGGUUUACUCUAUACAAAUACAACAUGAAUAAAUAUGUAUCUAUCAUGAAAAUUGACAUGAUUAUUAAAUGAAUUUGGUCUAAGUCAACCCAAUUGUUUCCCGUGUCAGGCUAGAAUUCAAUUUUUCAAUGCAUUUACUUGGUCAAUGACGUGAUUGUUAAAUAGUUAACCAAAACUAAUUCAUAUUUGCAUUAAAAUAUACUUAUAUUUUCAAUUCUAAAUUAAUUUAUAGAAUCUUAUCAUUAAAACUCAAAAUUUGGUCAUGAUUCUAGAUGAACAUAUAUUUGAUGUUCUAUUUUGUAAAAUUCUUGAUAGAUUUAAAACUUCAAUGGUUCAUACAUGUUGUAUUUGCAUCAAAUGAGUGUGUAGUAUUUGAUGUAAAUCGUGUUAGAAUUUAAAUAGGUAUUCAGUGAAUUUUUAGGUUAUAUCAUGUUAGAUGACACAACUACCUAGUUAUUAAAAGAGCGUAUCAAGUCACUAUUUUAUUUUUCGUAUCGAGUUCAAAUUUUAAUAUUUUAACAUUUUAUUUUUCGUAUCAAGUUCAAGUUUUAAUAUUUUAACACGAUUAUUAAAUAAGUCGUGUUUUAACCAACAUAAAUUUAAAACAACACAAAAUUGACACAAUAUGACUGGCUUAAUGACCUAUUUUGUUAGUUUUAUUUAAAACCAUCUAAUCUAUUAAAAAAAAAAAAAAACGGUCCAUGGGCCUAGCCCAAAUAUAAAUUCAACAAAACCAGCUCCCGCUCAAUCACACUCUCUCGGUCGUUCCCUUCACUCUCCAAAACCCCCCAUUCCAAACAAAACCCUCAUUUUUCCCUCUUAACGAAGUCACUUUCUCGAGAACCAAACAUUCCCUUAGAUCUCCAAUUUCAUAAUGAGAGAAGAAGAAAUAGAGAAACUUCGAGGAUUGGUUCGCGACUGUGUGAGUAAGCAUUUGUACUCGUCGGCCAUUUUCUUCGCCGAUAAAAUCGCCGCUUUGACCAAUGACCCUACUGGCCUGUACAUGCAGGCUCAGGCUCUGUUCCUUGGCCGCCACUACCGCCGUCCAUUUCACCUCCUUAACGCCUCAAAAAUUGUGCCCCGUGACCUCCGAUUUCGUUACUUGGCUGGUAAGUGUCAGGUAAAGUUCUGUUUUUUGAUUGCAUUAGAAAAUUUGAAUUUCAGAUUUUGUGAUUUGUGCUUUUUGCGUUUUUAGUUUUUUUUUUUAUGUUAUGAAAAAGGGAAAUUUUGAAAAUUUUAACUUGAAAUUCGUGUUCUUUUUAUUUUAGAACAAAAGAAUUUCAAUGAAAAAUAUUUGGAAAUUGAAUUGCUCUAGCAAAUUUGCAUGUGUUGUGUGUUUUAAGAAAAUGAAAACUAGAUUUUGAGCAAUUAAGGAGAGAUUAUGGACUUUGAGCUGAAUGGUUUUGAUCAAUUUUUUCUUGAAUGUUUAUUUGUUUAUACAACUGGGUAGUUUUUCUUUUACUUAUUUAUUUCUGGUCUGUCCUUUGUAUAAUUAGGAGGAACUGAAGGAGUGGGACUAGUGUUUGUCGAUGCUCGGUGAUGCUAAGGUCGAUGAAGAUGGUAAUGUUUUUGACACAAAGGAUAGCAAUGUCAUGUACUUAGAUAAAGAUGGGGAAGACAGAGAAAUCAAUGUAAGUUUUUGUUUGUAAUCUCAUUUUAUCUGGCCUUUUAUUUUUUAAUUUGUUGCAUAUUUGUUGUAUACUUGACCCAAUAUUUCUUUUUUCUAUUACAGAUCUCUUCAGCUAUAUGCUUUUUGAGAGGCAAAGCAUAUGAAGCCUCAGGAAAUUGUGCCCAAGCUCGGCUGUGGUUAGUUUCUUGCGAUGAAUUUACAUGAAAAUCACUCUGCUUAAUUGUAAAAUGCUUUAUGGUUAUUUUCCCUUAGUUUUUCAGCCAAAAUGAUACCAACUUAUACUGUCUAACAGUCUUCUGUUAUAGUAACUUAGGUGUAGUAAUUUAACGUACUGUUAAAGAAAGGAAAUGACUUUAUUGUUUUAAUGCGAGAAAUUUGAACAUUGUUAUAAACUUGUUUAAGUUGGGCAUAAGUAAAUUUAUCUUCAAUUUCAUUACUGAGCAGAUUUUGUUUGAAUGCAUGAAUGUUUGAUAUAUGUGUUUAAUAGCCAAGGAGUUUGUUUAGAUACUACUUUAAGAAUUAUCUAUAUAUAGAUUGGGUAGUCUAGAAAACUCUCCUUGAUUAAAUCAAUGUAUAAUUUUGAUAAGACAGUUUAAAAUGUUAACAUCCUAUGUCUUCUGGAGUCCAUUUGGUGACACAGGAAUGGUAGUGUAUGCUGGGAUGGUUUAGUUCAAUAAGGCUAUUAGUUCUGUUCUACUUUUUCAAAGAGGUUGAUUGCCAAAUUAACAGCCACAUGAAGGAGAUUGUCUUUUUUUUUUUUUUUGUGUAUCCUGAAUUGUUUUUGCUUCCAACCACAAUUCUGGUCUUCUAUUGGUUCACACUUCCUACUUCUAUCUCGAUGAUUUUAUCUGCAAUACCUCAUUACUAAAUUCAGCUCUAACAACAGAGGAACUUAUUUGCUUCCUCUUUAUCUUGUUCCAUUACUAGCUUUCAUGUGCAGCAUUUUUAGAAUGUUAAAGACUAAUAGUACAGAAAGGUGGUUUUAAAUCAAAUGUAACAAGAUUCAAUUGACAGAUCAGCUAUGCUUCACUCCAUGUGGUUACCUACACACCUGGAUAUUUGUUUUAGAGUUUUAUGCUGUCUGAAUUAGUGGCCUCAUUUUGUUAUCUGAUUGAAAGCUUGCAUGUAUUUCGGUAAGUUAGGUUCUUCCCUCAACUCUUUUUCUUUAGUAACUAUCAUGGUAUUGUUUUAUAACCUUAAUUAGUUUCUCUUUGGUUUUUCAUUUGUCAGUAUAUCUGCUCUAUUCUGUUCAAUUCCUUUUUCUCUAUUCUCUCAGUUAUGUUGAACUAAAACGCUGUAGUUCAUACAAAGGCUUGCUAUAUUUUUUCAUAAUGAUUUAAGGUACAAAGCAGCAAUCAUAGCUGAUCCUUUGUGCUAUGAGGUAUGCAUGACACGCUAUCAAUGUUUUUUUUUUCCUUUCCCCCUAGGGAUAAGCUGGUGGGGGGAGCGUCCCGUUCUCAAAAACUCCUUACCUUGAAUUUUGUGGCUGCAUAAAUUUCAGACAUGACUUUCUAUGCAAAAUAUUACAACCUGUGGAAACUGUUGCCUUCUCAAGGAUUAGAAAAUUACUCAAAAGAGGGCUAGAUUUUUUGAGCUAGGCUUGUCCCUUUUUUUUUUUUUUGUAAAUAGAAUUUUAAUCCUUUUCUUUAAUUUGACCUCUGCUGAUCACAUAGAUGUCUCAUCUGGAUGUUCCUUAUAAGAUAUAUCGAUCCUCAUUCUUUAUGAUUUUUUUUAUGGCUGUACCUUGAUUUCUUUUUCAGGCUUUGGAAUGCCUUAUAGGAAAUCACAUGCUAACAUGCGAGCAAGGUAAUGAUGUAGUUUUUUCCUAGUCAUCUGUUUCUUUCAUCUGAGAGAAGUGGAUUAUGAAAAUGUUUACAGUUUGAAUUAUAGUUCUUACAUAAGUGCGCACGCACACACACACACACAUAAAUGAAAUUAUAGUCACACACAAACAUGUUGAUAUAAAUUUAAUUUGGCAAAAAUUUCUUUGGCUGUGUUCAACUAGCAUUGGAUUUUUCAUGGAACAUGUUAUAAUAGGCUAAUACUUUAAAUUUUUGGAUUUGCUGUUGAAUUUCAGAAACAAGUUUACUUUCAUCAUUGGAAUUUGGUUUUGAAGAUGGAUGGCUUUCUUCAUUCUACUCAUGUUUGAUAAAAAAGGUGAACUGUGUGCAAAUUCAUUAUAUGCUCUUCCAAAUGUAAACAUUUCAAUAAUAAGUUUCCCAUAUGUUUUCGUGAUGUCGAUUCUUUUUGCUGUGUUUGAGUGCAGUGAACAAUUUCUUUCCUUCUUUCCUGUCUCCCUUUGUUUUAUGCAGUAUGACAAGGAGAAUGUUGUAGAAGCCAAAUUCGGAGAAAUUGAAAAAGAAAGAUGUGAUAGUGUCCAUUCGAGCCCAUCCUUCUCACACAGUCUGAAAAACAAUACUGAUCUUUUAGAGGGCUUAUUAUUCUGUCGACCUGCGAUACUAGAUUUCAGAAAUCUUCUCUUCACACAGUGUUCUUGGCUCUCUAAUUGUCAAAAAGUUGAAAAGCCUUUUUCUGUCUGAUGCAUCAUAUAUAUGCAGUUUAAUAUUUGUGGACUUCAAUAAUAUUGAUUACCUUGAUUAUAAUAUUUUCAAUUGUAUGGUUUUUGGGUUUCUUCUUGGUAGGAAAGAUUUUUGUCUUUUUCUUUUUUUUUGGCUUGAUUCUUCUUCUUUUAUUAUUAUUAUUGUUACUGUUUUCCCAUUCACCAAGGAAAAAAAUUGGAAACUUGGCUCCACCUCGCAAAAAGUUUUAGAGCGCAUUUUAAAUUCUCGAAUUUGGGGAAAUUGGAUUGGAGAAUUGGGAAUGAUUGAUUGGUGUUUUCCUUGGCUAAAAACAUUGAAAGAAUGACGAUCGGAUUUUUGGGUGGAGCUCACAAGUUGGGAAAUGAGGAUUGGGAAUCCCGUUGCCAAAGGGGAGGGGGGAAUGCAAACGGAAAUUAACACUUUUACCCUUAAAGAAAUUAAAAUUUUAUUUUUUUCCUUNNNNNNNNNNNNNNNNNNNNNNNNNNNNNNNNNNNNNNNNNNNNNNNNNNNNNNNNNNNNNNNNNNNNNNNNNNNNNNNNNNNNNNNNNNNNNNNNNNNNUUUGUCGCUCUUGUUAAUAUAUCCUUUGUGGAUUUCAUAUGAGGUUUGAAAUGUUAUUUAGUGAAAUUUAAUUUCUUGUUGGCUCUAUUCACCACAGCAAGGCUACAAAUCUUGAUGGGACAUUCGCCCCCGCUUGGAUAGGUUAUGGAAAUGCUUUUGCUGCUCAAGAAGAGGGUGACCAAGCAAUGUUGGGUUAUCGCACUGCUGCUUGUUUGUUUCCAGGGUAAUUUUUAGCAUUAUUUAUUCAUUUCUGUACCUUUCUGAUUUUCUUUUCCUUGGAUCAGCAUAUUCAUGCAAUGAGGACAAGGACAAAGCCACUAACUUGCUUUUGAGCAAGUUUCAGAACACUUUUAGAAUUUCAUUUUUGGCUUCUUUUUUUUAACUUUUUUGGUCUCUGAAAGAUAUCUUAAGGGUAGGGUUUGGUUGAUUUUGCUCAUCUUGAUUUCAUGUAAUCCAUGAAAUUUCUGUUGCUUCAGCUUAAUCUGUUUCAAGUGCGCUACCACUAUAAAAAUUGGGUUUCAUGGGUUAUCAACCAAGAUUUUUUUUUUCUCCUUUGAUUUAAUAUUAAUAAACUGUUUUACCAAUAUAAACUUUUGAUGAAUGCUUCGCAUUUGAUUUCCAUAUUUCUUCCUGAGAAAUGUUGUAAGUUGAUUAAACAUAGUCUUAAAUCGACCCAAGGCAUUGUUGUAAUGUCUUUCUAUUUUGAUAAUAAGCCACACUGUCAUAGUAGUUUUAUGGUCGUAAAGAUCAAUGAAUUUCAUUGUUUAUUGUUUAGUGAUGGUAUGCAUUGUGUUGUGGGAGUACUCUUAUCACUAUGAAUUGUCUUUUUACAGGUUGAAUCUUGAUGUUCUCUUAUUCCAGGUGCCAUUUACCAACUUUGUAAAUUGGAAUGGAGUACAUGCGAACUCACAGCUUUAAGCAUGCCGAACAGGUGUAUUACCUUCUUCUAAAUAUAGACUGCCUUUCAUUUUUCUCUUUAGAUUUCAGUGAGAACUCUUAAGAGGUUGUUUGUUUGCAAUAUGAAGUCUGAUUGUUGGAUAUUCAGAUGUUGGUCUAUACGAUUUGCUAGUUGAUGUUGUCUUGGGGGUUUCAUUUUCCUCUUUGGAUUUAAUGUGAAUACGACUUCUUUCCUCUUUGUUUAAUUGCGACAACUUCUAACAGAUGCUAAUCACAAUCUUUAUUCAUGAUUCUGAGACCUGUGUAAUUAGAAUUUUGGUCAUAUCGUCCAUUUUCCUUUGUUGUCAAAAUAAUGUCUUCUUUAUCCAAAUCUCUUAGUCAUAAUUCUUUGAAUAUAUUGUUGAAUUUCUGAUUAGCUGUCCUUUCUCCAGUUUUUCAUGCAGGCAAAGAACAUAUGCCCAUCAGAUCCACUUGUAUAUAAUGAACUUGGUGUUGUUGCUUACCACAUGAAGGAUGUUUGGUUCACUUGAGUUGCUGUUUUCUGUUGAUCCGUUUACUUUAUUAGUGUUUCAUUUUUAAUAAUAUUAUUACUUAAGGAUAUGAAAUUCUAGUUGAUUUAAACUUAGGUCUUGUUUGGUGUUGAGGUGUUGUAGAUUUUAAGCUACAGGUGUUGUGGAAAAAAGCUACAACUAUUAAAUAAAAGUUAAUAGCUUGUAGUAAAUAUAAUUUUUAAAUAAUAAUUUUGACAAAAUUAGUAAAGAUAUAAUAAAGUUUUCAUCAUACAAGCGUAAAAUCAAAUCAAGUUAACUUUCAAGCUACAACAACUGGUGUUUACCAAAUACUUUAGUACUUUAGUUUUUAAGCUAUAGUUGUUCAACUCAAUACCAAAUGGUGCCUUUCAGGAAUUGUGCUCUUUUUAUUGUUAUAUGUUAUGGCUUUUGUAUGAGUUCCCAAUCACCAGUUUGACCAGCAAUUAUUUGAAAUGUGUGGUGGUUUGAAAAGACCUUGGCGCACAUUCCGUCCUCUUUAAGUGAAAUGUGGGAACCAACUGUGGUGAAUCUUGCACAUGCUUACAGAAAAUUAAAGUAUGUUUAAAUUUAUUGGAAUAGGCUGUCUCACUUGCUUUUUCUUGUUCUAUUGCCUACUCAGGAUAUUUAUCCUUUAUUUUAUUGUGUUUUUGUUGAAUUUUACAUGAAAUAUCAUUCAGAUAUCUAGAUUUGUUUUUUUUUUUUGGCUAAAUUUUCAAAUAGAGGAUCAUCUUUAUCUUGAUAAAUGCAUUUUAUUUUAGGGAUUCCAGCAUAGGGUAAGAUUUUUCAGUUUGCAUCGUCUGAGAUUGUGAGCAGCAUGAAGAUAUAAGAAAGAAGUAUAACCUUCCUUAUACCGUCAUGGCUGCUUAUGGUCAGCUUUGCCCAGUAAGCUCGAGAGACUACUAGGAGCCGUAGAAGUUGUCUGUAGCACUUCCUAAAAGGACUUGAUGCAAAUAGUUUAAAUAAGGAUAUGCCGGAUUAUGGAUUGGUCUACUCUCUACUGGCUACUUCAUAUGCUACCCUUUUAUAUGUUUUUAUCUUUAUGGAAUAGUACUUUUUUUUCAUGUUUUUGCUUUUUUCCUUCUUAGUAGGCAGUGGGUUUAGGUUUAUUUCUAGUAUUGCUAAUCUAUAAACAUACAUUUGACUUAUUGUUUAUUGAACCUGAUUCUAGAAUCUAUCAUGUUUCAGGAUAUAUCACGAGGCAAUAUCCUGUUACGAGCGAGCGCUGAUGUUGUCGAAUAGAAGUUUGAGCACCUAUGCAGGUUGUGCUUACACUUACCAUUUGCAGGUAUGGUGGAUUUAUUAUUAAUUCAUUUUCAAUGAAAACUUGUGUGCCUAUGAAUAUUCUGCUGAUGUGAGGAGUAGUUAGCAAAUUGAUCUAAGUGGUAUUUGUUAGCAAAUACUAGUUUAUUGGAUGCAUCUAAUAUUUGCAGCUUAGGGUUUAAAAAACCAUUGUCAGAUCUUCACCGUUGCGUUCAAAAAACUGCUAGAGUCUAUGGUGGCGAAUUUGUUUCUUUUGGGUCUCUUGUGCAGGAUAACUUCUCUGCUGCCAUUACAUAUUAUCACAAGGUAAACUAAAAAGUACUCUUGCUGUUUCCUUUAUGUGCAAUAAGCGUACUGUCUAUCGUAGUCAUCCACUGUUGAAGAGACAACUCUAAUCUCGCUACAUUAUAUGGAUCAUUGAUUUGCUUUUUCAUUCUAAUCUGCAAAUCAGGCAUUGUGGCCGAAGCCAGAUGAUCAGUUUUGUACCGAAAUGUUAAGUUUGGCUCUUGUUGAUGAAGAUCGCCAUGGCAUUGACCCCAAAAUCGAAUUUGAGUGUAAUUUGUUAUUCAUACCUAUAACAGUUUAAUUAUUUUGGUAUUGGUGAAGGGCUUUUAUUGUAUAAGCUCAGGGUGAAGGGCUUUUAUUGUAUAAGCGCAGGGGUGUCAUCUUCAUCUAUAUUCUACCUUUUACAUUAUUAAUUUAUUUCCUCAUUUGUUGAAAUCUACUUGGCUUAGAAGUGAUUUAAAUUGCUUUCUUUCAUGGAACCAUUUUCUUCACAGUUUUUAUUAUUUACCACCAAACAGUUAAGUCCAUUAAGAAAUUAAUGAUGUCACAUGGAUAUUUCAAGAAUUUUAGUUUAUUAAGCUGGAAGUAUUAUAAUAUUUACAAUUUUAUCAAUUGAUCAAUUUGGAUAAAUAAAACAACCAAUUGAUAAAAGUAUUAUCUCUUUGUGUAUGAUUAACUUUAUUUUUUUAUUGAUUUGGAAGAUUAAACCUAUUUUCACAAUUUAGGGGUAAACCAGACUUUUAGUAUAAAUUCUAUUAAAAUUUUGUUAUUUUAGCAAGUAAAAUGUAAUAGUUGGAAUAUUAAACUGUAAAAAUAUAAUUAUUAAAAAAAUUUACUAAUAAAGUGAUAUAUUAGACGAAGUUAGGCGAUAAAGAGAUAACAUCCCUCUUAGGAAUUAAUUAUAUUAGUUUACAACCUUGUAAUCCUUUGUUAAGCAGCAAAGUAAAAUAUCUUUUAUUGAGUAUUUUUGUUUCCUAUUUAACACAUGCAAUCUUUUAUUAAAUGAAAAAAGAUUUUUUUUUUAAAAUAAAUAAAUAAAAGAGGAGCAAGGCCGAAAUCAAAAGAGUUAAAUUUCGUCGAGCCUCGUGUACUCAGUUUAGAAUUCUAAAUUCACAAGUCUAAUUAGGUUUAUAUUAUUAUUAUGAUAUUAGUUAGAAAGGCAGCUAGUAAGCAAGUCGAAUAAGACAGCUAUUAUUAUUAUUAUUAAGUUUUUUUGGCCUCCUGCCUUUCCUCUUAUGUGAACUUUGUUGAACGACUAAAGAAAGCAUCGGCUAAGCUUCUGAGUCUCAUCCAAAAAUUAUUGGUUUAUACCAAGAUUCCUAAUUGCUACCAUUUGAAUUGUUUUUCAACUUCUAGUUCUCAUAAUUUUGAGAACAAUGAAACAUGAAAAUAAUUGCUUUCUUUGGUGAUUGAUUGAUGUGAUUCUAUUUCAUUGGAUCAUUUUAUUGAAUCUAUUUUUUCAUUGCUACAACCAAAAAUGCUAGUGGGAUCUCUUUCUAGUUUCUAGAAGUACUCUAAUCGCCCUGUUCCUUCUUGAACAUUAAUUGUAGGCUUUUCUGCUACACAACCUUUAAUCUUUUUGAAGUUAGAAUCAAAAGGGGUUUAUCAAAUCUCGAUCCUCCCCAAUUUAGGAUUUCAUAAACAAAAAAUAACUUUGAGAAUAGGGAUCUCUUUUAAAAAAAAAUAAAUUAAUUAAGAAUAAGAGUGAACUACUAUGAAAUUAGUGAGUUCUAAUUAGUUUAAUUAAUAAAUCUUUAUACUAAACUAAGAGAUUUAGAUUUUAAUCAUGUUCACGUGCAUAAGUAGUUACCAAUAUUACUAUGUUUAAGAAAAGUGGUACAAUAGUUUGUUUCAUGUACAUUAUUUUAUUAUUUAUAAUUAAUUAUCACAUUUCUUUUUUUUUUUUAUUAUUAUUGGUUAAAUGAAUCACGAGAUCAAUGGUACGGAUUUAUGAUUGGGAUAUAAGGAAGAAAUCAAUAUGAACUAGCUAAGAAAAUGGAGGAUUAAAAUGAGAAUGGAACAUGAAUCUCUUAAAACAUGGGCAUUUGGUAUCUUGAAUUUUUCUAGUUUAUUAUUAUUAUUUUUGUCGUCGUCGUCGUCUUUGAGGGUGUUUAGGUCAAUUUAUAGUGUAGAUGCCGAUAAGUACAGAAUAGAUGAGUCAACAUAUGUUGAUAGGGAGGUGAAUUCUUUUUCUUUUUUUUUUAUCAUUUUUUAAUGAUUUUUUUUGUCAUUUAUUCUUUUAGCAACUUUAAUUUUUUUUUAAGACUUUUUGUUCUCAGUGGAAACACGAGAUGCACGUGAGGUGGUUGUUAAUUUAGGAGUUGAGUUGAGUUUUUUUACUGAACAUUAAAUUAAUAUUUAUUAAAUAAAAGAAUAAAAAGAUAAAAAUGUAAAAUAAAUUCUAUUAAUAUAUUGUUCGUAAAAAUUAAGUUCAAUAUUGAAUUCUCUAAUUCGUUGUUUAACCUAUAAUUUUGAAAAAAAAUAAAAAAUGGAAAAAAUAAAAAGAAAACAUAAUAAACUAUUAAACCAUAUGACGUUAUAAUAUGAAUACGUUAUCUUGUCACUUUCUUUUUAAGUUAUAUGAUUUUAUAAGUAAAUUUAGAGUCCAGUUAAAUUACAGGGUGAGUAAUUUACAACCCAACCACUUUGUACAAAUAUGAAUAUUUAUAAGAGGGGUCUGGGCUGCAAGUUACUACUAAUGCUUUAACUUAGCGAAAAACCUUAAGUCUAUCUUUUUUGGGAUUAUUUUCUGGGAGAUUGCCACUUUCUCCUUUACAGUAAUUAAUAUAUACCAUUUAUCCCUUUGUUAUUUUGAAAAUGAUAAAAAUCUCAUUGACAGUAUAAGUUACAAUAUUAUCUUUAUUUGUAACUACUCUUUUAUUUAUAUUUAUUAUAAAUUAAAUAAAUUACAUGAAUAUAAACUAAAUAAAAAAAUUAAGUAUUAAAAAUAAGAAAUAUAUGUUUUGAUAUGAGCAAAAAAAUUAAUAAUAAAAUUUUUUUCUUGUAAUUAUUUAUUUUGCAAACAUUUUCUUAUAAUAAACAUUUUGUAAUAUUUUAAAAGUAAAUGUAAAAAGUAUAGGCAAAAUAUUUUAUUAUUUAUCUUAUAAUAAAUUUUUAUUUGUCAUUCAAGUUUUCUUAUAAUAAUUUUUUUAUCAUUUUAUAAUAACUUUCUUAUAUAUUUAUUAUAAGAAAAUUUUUACAAAAUAAAUAAGUACAAGAAAAAAAUUCAUUAUUAAUUUUUUAUAUUAAAAUAUAUAUUUCUUAUUUUUAAUGCUAAUUUUUUAUUUAAUUUAUAUUUAUGUGAUUUAUUUAAUUUAUAAUAAAUAUAAAUAAAAAAAUAAUUAAAAAUAAAAAUAAUAUUAUAAAUUUAUACUAUCAGAGGAAUUUUUAUCCAUUAUAAAAAUAAUAAGAAAAAAUAAUAAAUGUUCAUUACUGUUGGGAGAAAUUCACAAUCUCCUUAUUUUCUCCAUUUGGAUAACAUCACUCGAACUUUAGUUGACCACGUGUCAACAUUUCAAUGGUUUCAUAUCAAAUUAUUAGCUGUGAAUUAUUGAGUGAGAAAACAUACCGGACCCCCAACUUUUGCUUUUACGUGAACAUGAAUCAGAUCCUCUUUUUUUUUUUUUUUUUUUUUUUUCUUUUUGAUAUAGUGAAUCAGAUUCUUGAAAAGCUGUGAAGUGGGGAGCGAUCGUUUAAGUUAUUUAAAUUUAAAGCCGGCAAUAAUUGAAGCCUUAGGAUUGUUAUUGAUUAUUACCUCCACCAAAGCUUUCUGAAAAAACAGAUUAAGAAAAUUUUUUUUUUUUUUGUUUUCCUCGAAACGACAUAAGACGAUCGCUCUUAAUUUUAAAUAACUCCAGUUGACUUACCGUUGAACUGGAAGGACAUAAGGAGAAUGACCUUCUCAUUUUCCAUCUGUCAUAAAAAUUUAUUUAAAAAAUAAGUGCAUAAACUAAGCCGGGCUUAACGUUUUAUUUUUAACCAAUAUAUAUAUAUAUAUAUAUAUAUAUAUAUAUAUAUAUAUAUAUAUUAUAGAAAAUGAUAUUUACAUCCCAAGAUUUAGGAAAAUAGUCACAAAAACUCUUGAGUUUUUAAUAAAGGACACCAAAACUCUUUUUGACCAUAAUGCCUUUUGACUCUAUAAAUCUAAAAAGAAAAAUAACUCUAAAAUUUUAUAAUGAAUAGAAAUAUGACAUUAAAAUAAAUGUAAUAAGAUAUACAUUUCAAAAUAAUUUUAAUAUCUAAAAAUAUUUUAAUAUUUUUAAUCUAUUAGACCUCUUUUAUUAUAUUAAAGCAAUUUUUAAUAAUAAAUAGAAACAAAAUAUUAAAAUAAAAAUUAUUUUGACUAUUAUGUAAAAGUUAAUUUUAAUAUUAUUAAUAGAGAGAUUUUUUAAAUUGUAAAAUCUAUUUAACCCAAAGAUUAUUUAAAAUCUUUUUAAUAUUACAAUUAUAUUAUUAAAAUAAAUAUAAUAAUCUAAAAUUUUAAUAUUAUUUUAAAUGUUAAAAAUAAUUUAAUAUUAUUAGUCUACCAAAUAGAUUUAUAUUAUUUAUAUAAAAUUUGUGUUAGUUAAAAAUUUUUAAAAUCAAUUUUUUAAUUAAUAUAAUCAAAAGUAAUUGUGGGCAAAAAAAAGUUUUUGUAUCUUUUUUUUAAGACUUAAAGAGUUUUUUGUAACUAUUUUCCCAAAUCUUGGAAUGUAGUUAUUCUUUUUCUUUUUUUAUCCCAUCUCAGUUUUUUUACAAGUAUUCAAAUAUUAGUACGUGAAAUAUAUUUUAAAAUAUCCAUCAAUUUAUUAUUUCUUAAAGUACCUUUUAUUAAUAAAUAGCAUAAUACACACGAAGCACCAUUGAUAUUGAUGUUCAUACAUCUGAAUCAAUUUUCGAGUCUACGUCAUGAUUUCUACGUCACGAAUUCUCUUAUUUAAGGCAAACCUCAUAGAGGCAAUCACAAAACAUGAAGAAAAUUGAUUUUGUUCCUAGUCCUCACUUUCUAAAAAGAAUUUUUGUUGAAGCUAUAUAUAUAUAUAUAUAUUGAAUCUUUUGAAAAAAAUUGCUUCCUGAGCAUAUGAUUUCUUGCUGGGUUUCUUCAAUUGCUCUUCUUGUUCAGUUGUUAAAACUUUCCAGUUUCCUCUCUGUAGUACAAAGAAUAUUUGAUCAUUGAAGUGCCACCUUCGUAGUGUUAAUUUCGGUGAUGGAGUCCGCUGCUCAAGUGAGGGAUAUCGAUGCUUUGUAUGAGCUAAUUCGACAUGAUCAAUAUUUUUUGGACAACUUUGACGAGAAACCUUUUGUCGAUACUCCUUUGCAUGCUGCUGCAAGGGAUGGAAAUGUUGAAUGGUCCAUGGAGAUUAUCAGACUAAAGCCAUCAUUUGCCAGGAAGCUAAACCAAGAUGGCUUCUCUCCGGUGCAUUUAGCUUUGCAAAAUGAUCAAACUCAGUUAGUGCUUCAGCUGAUAGAUAUUGAUCCGGACCUUGUUCGUGUCCAAGGAAGAGAAGGCAUCACUCCUUUGCAUUUCGUGUCUGAAAAAGGAGACAUCCAUCUGUUGAGGGAAUUUUUGUCUGCUUGUCCGAAAUCUCUUGAAGAUGUGACCAAUAAAGGCGAGACUGCUCUUCAUAUUGCUUUGAAAAACAAUAACGUCGAAGCUUUUGAUCAAGCCUUAACAACAGUACAACCACCGUGGUUUGACCUUGAAGAAGCUCAACAAUACAAUCCAGGAAUCCUCAACUUGAAGGAUAGGGAUGGCAACACUUUGUUACACAUAGCAACAUCCAAAAGUCAAGUCCAGGCAAGCUCGAAUUCACACACACACAUAUAUAGAAAUUUUCCAAUGAGGUGCAGGCACCCUCAUUUUUUCCUUUUUAAUAUAGACAUGCUGUCUUUUCUUUUUUAAUAUAGACAUGCCGUUAAAUCACGUGCUUUAAUAUAGAUAAUUCUUAAUUCAUUAUAAAGCCAUAUAUUUUAAUAGCAUACCUGUAUAUAGUUUAAUAACGUAUCCGCAUGAGAAAAAAAUGAAAGUGUUUGCAUGAAAAAAAGGACUAUAUAAAUAUAUAUAUAUAUAUAUAUAUAGUAUCUAAUGAACUUAUCUUUAUUUCAACAAAGUAAGGAUGCCAUUAAUAAAUAUAAAAAGAAAAUCUUGAAUAAAUUAAAAUAUGUGUUCUUUUGUAUUUUAUUUACAUCUUUACUUCAUUAAAGUUUCUCUCAUAUACGGUCACAAAUAAAAUUCACAAAUAAAAUUCAGUUGAAUGAUGAUUAGACAGAUUAUUGCUAUUUCCACUUCCUGAUGAUGUCUAAAUUGAUGAAUUUGCUCAUCCAAAGCAGAUUGUAAGGCGUUUAUGGAAUUGCAAAGUUGAUACAAAUGCCCAGAAUUCGGAAGGUUUGACACCUUUAGAUAUUUCAUUACUUGAUCAAACUAAAUCAGAAAACCAAGAGAUUGCGGCAAAGCUGCGGGAAGCUGGAGCACUAGAGGCAACUUCACUUCCUACUACCGACAAGGAUAGACAUUUAUCGAGGUAACAGGAACACUGCUCUUUUACUAAAUUACAGUCCAUUUAUCGAUUAUCUUUUUAAAAACAAUAUGGCAUUUUCAUACUAUGUACAUCUCAAAAAUUGUUUAAUGUCCUUCAGAAGUAAGGAUCAGAGGCUGAACGAGGCUGCUAAAACAGGAAAUGUUGAUGCCUUGUAUGAAUUAAUAUGUGAGGACGCAUAUCUUUUAGAUCAGAUAGACGAAGUACCAUUCGUGGAUACUCCUUUACAUAUAGCAGCAUCAAUGGGGCAUGUCAACUUUGCCCUGGAGAUAAUGAGGUUAAAGCCAUCAUUUGCAAGAAAGCAAAACCAAUAUGGAUUUAGUCCCCUGCAUCUUGCUUUGCAGAAGAAAGAUACCCAAAUGGUGCGUCGGCUCAUAGAUGUGGACAGAAAUCUUGUUCGUGUCCAAGGAAGGGAGGGUGUAACGCCUCUACACUAUGUUGCUGAGAAAGGAAAUGUCGAUAUUCUAUGCCAACUUCUAGAGGCUUGCCCUGAGUCCAUCACAGAGGUGACAAUCCGUAAAGAGACUGCUUUGCAUGUUGCUGCAAAAAAUGACCAGUUGGAGGCCGUUGAGUGCAUGCUAGGAUGGCUUCGAUAUGUCGAUAUGGAGGAUAUCCUUAACUGGACGGACGAUGAAGGCAACACUUUAUUGCAUAUCACAAUCUCCAAAAGUCAAAUAAAGGCAUGAAAUUUUUUUAAAUUUUACUUCAGUUAGUCCCUAUAUUUUCAUGAUUAUUAAUUGCAUGCAUAUAUAAAUAUAUCCUUGCAGUUGGUGAGGCUACUAGUUAAAAGAGCACGUGAUCAAAUAAAUGCUCGGAACUUAGGCGAUAAGACACCCAUGGACAUGGUAGAAGAACAUUUGCGAGGGAAACCUGAAUUUAAAGAAGUAACACGCAUGGUGCGCAAAGCUGGCGGCCGACAAGAGUCCUCCCCUCCUCCUCGUAGGGACGUUGCAGGUUACUUAAAACAAGGUUUGACAUGUCGUCGAAAGGUGCUUUUGUUCUUUUACCGCUCAUCACAGCGCAUUACGGAUGAAAAUCGAAGCGCACUACUUGUGGUUGCUAUACUAAUCGCGACAGCCACAUUCCAAGCAGCGCUUACCCCGUCUGACGAUCUUGAGGGAAAUAAGUCAACUGGAACCCCCAACUCUAUUGCCACUAAUGGAUCACACUCAUCAUCGACAUCGGCAUCGACGUGGGCAUCAGUAUGGGCAUCAGUAAACCAAUCAGGAACAGCAAAUGCAACGGCCUUUGGUGUGAGCAAUGGAACCAGCAGCAGCAUCCCAACAAGUGACAAGAUUCUAUUCGCUCCGGGGCAAUUAUAUCCUGAAGCCAUUAGUGAUACGAUCUCCACACUUUUCGCAUUUUCAAAUAUUACAGCAUUUUUUAUAUCUAUGCUGGUGAUUAAUUAUCACCUCCCGUAUGGCUCCGCAGCUACUCUGGUAUAUCCUCUAGUUAUUUGCUUUUGCCUGUUAGUGGUUGGCAGAACCCCGGUGUCGCUACUUGCCUCACUUUCAAUGCUUAUCGUCUUUCGGAUUUGUUUAUUUGUACAACUGGACUUCUCCAAGAUUCGAUUUAGACGAAGCUUCUGGAUUACACAAGUUUUGGGCUCCGUUUUCAAACAUUAUAGAAGCUUCCUCAAUAAGAUAAUGAAAGAUGCUGAAAAAUAGCUAUAAUGCCAAUAUGCUGCCAUGGAUAAAACACAUGUCCGUUGGUCUGUUGAUGUUCUCUGCUGGCUUGGCUUUAUCUACUUAGUGUGACACUUCCUCUCAAGUAAUAUUGCUGGUUUUAUUUUGCGUAAGAAGGUGUGCUUUUGUGUACUGUAUUUUCUGAAUUAUGUUCGUUUGCUUUUGCUUCAUUUUGUAAGGUCUUCGCAUGUUUCAAUGUAAUAUUAAUUACUCUUGUUGUAUCUGAUAGUUGUACUGUUCACCUUCGUGACUGUGAAUAUAAUGAUGUUAAUUUAAUUAAAACUAUAUGCUUGUUUGUUUGAUAAGAAAAUGAAGGAAAAUUUAUUGACUUAGAGAGGAAAAACAGAGAUUGAAACUAUAUGCAUCUGGAACUUUCCAAGUGUAACAGAAUCAUAUACACACUCUCUGAUAUUCACCAUAACAAUUUGGUGGGAAAUAAAAAACUUUUAACAACUUGCAUUACAAUCUUCCAGUAGGUUCCAGCAGCUUGUCCAGCUUGGCAUCUGACAUCAAUUAGUUGACUCAACUUAUUCUUAACAAAUUUUUAUGAACAUAUGAAAUAUCAAUAUCAUUGGGCUUUUGAUGCUCCCACCCACAGGCUACUUAAAAUUGUACCUAUAAAAGUCUGUUAGAAGAAAAGCUGAUUCAAAAUACUUACGGCAAUAUAUGAAGAAAAACAAUCAACAAACAGCAAACACACAAACAUAGCAAUAAAAGAAGACAAGGCAAUGUUUGAUGAGAUUAAAAAGCUGACACAUGUAGCAUAUAUAUUUACGUUUUCUUGGAGAGAGGAAACCGCUGUUGGAUCUUCAUUGAUGAACCCUUCAACAGGCCUCCAAAAGGCUCUGCUGGGUCAUAAUAAAUCGCAACAUCCCCUGGCCUAAUUGAUUCAUCAACCUAUGUAUCAGGUUUUUCAUUCAUCAGCAAAGAGUUUCAGCAAUUGAUCUAAAAAAUAAAGACUGCUUUUGACACUCUAUAUAUAUGUGUGUGUGUGUGUGUGUCUUUUCCAGACAUUAGCAGAUCUAAAAUACUGUAGUAGAACAUACAUACAUAUGUAUAUGUAUAUAUAUCCAGCGGCUCAUGGAGCCCUUUUUCUUUUUUUCUUUUUAUUUUGCAGGCUGCACGUGGUGGGAGCGCCCUUUAUCCUCCUCUUUUUUUUUUUAAUUUUGCAGGCUGCGCGUGGUGGACCUUUGAUGUCCCGCAUCGGAUUACUAUCCUCUCUCUCUCUCUCUCUAUAUAAUUGUCCAGUUAUUUCUAAAUUUUAAGCAAUUUAGAUUUAGUGAUGAUUUAAAUGUCAAAAUUUAAAAUUUUUAUUUUUCUUUUUGAAAUUUCGAUAUCCAAGAGAUUGCAGUAAUAAUAACCCAAUUAAACUUCCACCAGUGAAACCACUUCUCCAUGAGAUCUUAUUGUAAAUGCACAAAAAGUUGAGGGUACCAUGCAUAUACAGGAGCGCCGUAGCUGAACCCUCAAAUUAUUUAAUUGAGGACAAAUUGUAAAAAGAUAACCUUAUUAUCGAAGUCAUGGAGUUCUAAUAUGAAAAUGGCUAUAGCUUUCUAUUGGAACAGAAGCCUGUUAAAAUAUAAUAUUUCUCUCUAAAAUCAUCUAACAAAUUAAUAAUGAAGAUUUCUUUAUAAUGUUGUAUGAGUUUUUAUAGUAUUAAUAGUCGAAUUGUUGUAGAUUCUUGAAUUUUAAUGUUUUAAUCUCUACCAUUCAUUUGAUAUAGUGGAUAAAAAAAAUUAAUUAUUUAAAUAAUAACAGGUAACCUUCAGGUUGCAAGUAAAUGUGGAUUUUUUUUUUUAAAGAAAAUUUAUAUUAUGUUGGAUAAAAACCCCACAUUCAAUGGUGGGAUCAUUUGAUUUAAUAUUAUAAUCUUUACCCUUAAUUUAAUUUUAAUAGUUAAGUAAUUAUGUAGCAAAUAAUUUGCAAGUUGUGAUAUUUCUUCAUACUUUAAAUUAUUUUUUAUCUAAUCAACUGAUAAAUACAAAUAAUUAAUUUUGGAAUUAAAAUUGUUAUGUACUGGUUCUAUCACUUUACAAUUUUACAUUUUUUUUUUUGCUUUUACAUUUAGCAUUAAAAAUAUAUGUAAUAACAUUAAAAUAAAUGUAAUUAACCAGUAAUAUUAUUUCAACAAUACUUUAUUUAAAGAUAUUUCAUAAAAUCUUAUAACAAUUUGUAUUGUAUGAAUUUAAUUACAAAGCCAUUAAUACUUAGACAAUAAUGAAUUGGCAAUGGAGAUUAUUAAGCUAAAGCCUUCAUUUGCCAAGAAGCCCAACCAAGAUGGCUUCUCUCCCAUGCACUUGGCUUUGCGAAAAUGGUCAAACUCAAACAGUGCUUCAGUUGAUAGAUACUGAUCCGGAACUCGUUCGUGUUAAAGGAAGGGAAGGCAUCACUCCUCUGCAUCAUGCGUCUGAAGAUGGAGACCUGUAUCUCUUGGAGAAAUUUUUGUCUGUUUGUCUGAAAUCUCUUGAAGAUGUGACAAAUAAAAGCGACACUGCUCUUCAUAUUGCUUUGAAAAACGAUAAGGUUGAAGCUUUUCAAGUCCUAACAAGAUGCCCUCCGUCGGUCAUUGGCCUUAAAGAAGCUGAUCAAUGCUACAACAAAAGAAUCCUCAACUCGAAAAAUAGGGAUGGCAGCACUCUGCUACACAUUGCAACAUCAAAAAAUCAAGUCCAGGCAAGCUUGAAUUAAUAUGCUAAAAAAAUCGGUUGAGUGAUUACAUUAUUGAUAUUGCCACCUGUUUUUUGUUUUAAAGUUUCAGAGUUUGUAUAUUACAUAGUGUCGCGCCUUCUAUUUUUGUGAGCUGUAGAGCUCUCACUCACACCUAACUUACUUAGGACCGUUUUCUAAGUAUUUAGGGAGUAGAUGAUUCCUAAUUAAUUAGAUUAGGAGUAAGUUUUUCUAAAGAUAAUCAUGCACAUAUUAUUAUGUUUUCCCUUUUAAGUAUGGUUUCUUCUCAUUCGAUUAGGAUACCUUAUAGUAGCAAUAUUACUUAAGACUUGUAUAUAAAGACCUCUUUGCAAGCAUAUAAUACAACAAGAUCUAAGCCAUAAUUAAUUUGCUCUCUAAGUUCCCACAUUCUCUCUUUCUUUGCCGUGAUGCUACAUUAAGAGUGUGAAAAUCAGAAAAAGGACAAAAGACCCCUGUGGUUUAGUGAAAUAGUUAUGAAACCUACUUAUUUUUAGAAAUAAUCAUAAAUACACCUUUUAGGAUACACAAACCCAAUUUAUUUGCCAAACUUUAGGGGUCUAUAUGACUUUUCUAAAUGUGAAAAUGAUUUACAUGUCCCCAAAAGGGGUAAUGUCGGACUAUUUCUGAAAACAAUCAGUCUCUAUAUGAUCAAUUUACUGAAUUUAUGAGUGUUGAUGUCUUUUUUCCUACUACAUCUUAUAGCUUAAACACAGACUCACAAGCAAAUAAAGAAUUGAUUUUUUCCAUAUUAAACAUGUCUCAUUACGUUAUUCUAGUUUUGUACCAUAUUGUUACAUUCCUUCAUCAUCUAGACCUAAUAUCAAUGGCUUUCAAUCAAUUACAUUACAUUACAAAAUGAUGUAGAAGAUAUCAUAUGAUAUUUGUCUUAUUACAGUAUUACACAUGACAUUGCAACCUUAAUUAAUAUAAUCAACCUAGAGUGUUCUUGCUCUACAAGUUAUACACUAGGUGAAAUCAUAGCCCUUGAUUUUGACACUUGAUGAAGAUUCAAUCAUUACUUGAUAACUUGUAGAAUUCAAAUCAAAUGCUUCUCUGAAGCAUUUCAUCAAACAACUUAUUCCAAAUAUCAAACACCCACUCUUUUAACUUCAAAACUACCUAACGACUUUGUAUUCACAUGUCCCAGCAGAUUGUAACGAGUUUAUUGAACUGCAAAGUUGAAAUAAAUUCUUUGAAUUCUGAUGGCUUGACACCUUUAGAUAUUACAUUACUUGAUCAAACUCAGUCAAGAAAUCAGGAGAUUGAGGAUAUGCUAUGCAGCGCUGGAGCAUUAGAAGCAACUCCACUUCCUAUUAUGGCCAACUGCACAAAUGUAUUGAGGUAAAACAACUCUUUUGCUAAACUAUGGUCCAUAUAUGGAUAAUAAUUUUAAAUAAUAUAUUUCAUUAAUUUGCAUUUUCCAUGUUAUGCACAUUGUAAUUACUUGCUAAGAAUAUUGCUUAAAUCAAUUAAUUAAUGUCCUUCAGAACGGAUCAGAGGUUGAACGAGGCUGCUCAAGUAGGAAAUGUUGAUGCCUUGUAUGAAUUAAUAUGGGAGGACGCAUAUCUUUUAGAUCAGAUAGACCGGGUACCAUUUGUGGAUACACCUUUACAUAUAGCAGCAUCGAUGGGGCAUGUCAACUUUGCCUUGGAGAUUAUGAGAUUGAAG
RNAcentral lists this long non-coding RNA (35582 nucleotides) under Citrus x clementina. Its description in RNAcentral is "Citrus clementina (C. clementina) long non-coding RNA (CCLE_LNC004421)". The record is from RNAcentral. Lineage: Eukaryota; Viridiplantae; Streptophyta; Magnoliopsida; Sapindales; Rutaceae.